AUUGAACGCUAGCGGGAUGCCUUACACAUGCAAGUCGAACGGAGUGGCGAACGGGUGAGUAAUGUAUCGGAACGUGCCCAGUAGCGGGGGAUAACUACGCGAAAGCGUAGCUAAUACCGCAUACUAUUGGAGCGGCCGAACUCGGAUUAGCUAGUUGGUGGGGUAACGGCUAACCAAGGUGACGAUCCCUAGCGAGUUUGAGAGGACGCCCAGCCACACUGGGAAUGAGACACGGCCCAGCUUCCUACGGGAGGCAGCAGUGGGGAAUUUUGGACAAUGGGGGAAACCCGGAUCCAGCCAUCCCGCGUGUGCGAGGAAGUCCUUCGGGUGUUAAAGCACUUUUGUCAGGAAAGCGGUACCUGCAGAAUAAGCACCGGCUAACUACGUGCCAGCAGCCGCGGUAAUAC
Molecule: ribosomal RNA, 407 nt
Filed under: uncultured bacterium
Lineage: Bacteria
Description: partial 16S ribosomal RNA
Rfam family: Bacterial small subunit ribosomal RNA
Source: RNAcentral